Molecule: ribosomal RNA, 429 nt
Filed under: Bacteroidota bacterium
Lineage: Bacteria; Pseudomonadati; Bacteroidota
Description: Bacteroidetes bacterium partial 16S ribosomal RNA
Rfam family: Bacterial small subunit ribosomal RNA
Source: RNAcentral
UAGGGAAUCUUCCGCAAUGGGCGAAAGCCUGACGGAGCAACGCCGCGUGAGUGAUGAAGGUCUUCGGAUCGUAAAACUCUGUUAUUAGGGAAGAACAAAUGUGUAAGUAACUAUGCACGUCUUGACGGUACCUAAUCAGAAAGCCACGGCUAACUACGUGCCAGCAGCCGCGGUAAUACGUAGGUGGCAAGCGUUAUCCGGAAUUAUUGGGCGUAAAGCGAGCGCAGGCGGUAAAUUAAGUCGGUUGUGAAAGCCCCCGGCUAAACCGGGGAGGGUCAUUGGAAACUGGUUGACUUGAGUGCAGAAGAGGAGGGUGGAAUUCCAUGUGUAGCGGUGAAAUGCGUAGAUAUAUGGAGGAACACCAGUGGCGAAGGCGACUCUCUGGUCUGAAACUGACGCUGAGGCUCGAAAGCGUGGGUAGCAAACAGG